CUGAGUGAGGGCCCUCUGGGUCCAACCUCCCACCCGUGUUUAUUGUACCUUGUUGCUUCGGUGCGCCCGCCUCACGGCCGCCCGGGGGGCUUCUGCCCCCGGGUCCGCGCGCACCGGAGACACCAUUGAACUCUGUCUGAAGAUUGCAGUCUGAGCAUAAACUAAAUAAGUUA
RNAcentral lists this unclassified non-coding RNA (173 nucleotides) under uncultured fungus. RNAcentral describes it as "sequence contains ITS1, 5.8S rRNA gene". Lineage: Eukaryota; Fungi. The record is from RNAcentral.